CCUACGGGGGGCAGCAGUGAGGAAUAUUGGUCAAUGGACGCAAGUCUGAACCAGCCACGUCGCGUGAAGGAAGACGGCCCUACGGGUUGUAAACUUCUUUUGUAAGGGAAUAAAGUGAGCCACGUGUGGUUUUUUGCAUGUACCUUACGAAUAAGGAUCGGCUAACUCCGUGCCAGCAGCCGCGGUAAUACGGAGGAUCCGAGCGUUAUCCGGAUUUAUUGGGUUUAAAGGGUGCGCAGGCGGGGGAUUAAGUCGGCGGUGAAAUUUUGCAGCUCAACUGUAAAAGUGCCUUCGAAACUGGUUUCCUUGAGUGUAGAUGAAGUAGGCGGAAUUUGUGGUGUAGCGGUGAAAUGCAUAGAUAUCACGAGGAACUCCGAUUGCGCAGGCAGCUUACUAAACUACUACUGACGCUCAGGCACGAAGGCGUGGGGAUCAAACAGGAUUAGAUACCCUGGUAGUCCACGCAGUAAACGAUGAUUGCUAGCUGUUUGCGAUACAAUGUAAGCGGCUGAGCGAAAGCGUUAAGUAAUCCACCUGGGGAGUACGUUCGCAAGAAUGAAACUCAAAGGAAUUGACGGGGGCCCGCACAAGCGGAGGAACAUGUGGUUUAAUUCGAUGAUACGCGAGGAACCUUACCCGGGCUUGAAAUGCAUCUGACCGGCCUUGAAAGAGGCUUUUCCCUUCGGGGSCAGAUGUGUARGUGCUGCAUGGUUGUCGUCAGCUCGUGCCGUGAGGUGUCGGCU
RNAcentral lists this ribosomal RNA (743 nucleotides) under uncultured bacterium. RNAcentral's name for it is "bacterial SSU rRNA". It matches the Rfam family "Bacterial small subunit ribosomal RNA", at positions 338 to 1080 of the family's 1533-position model. The record is from RNAcentral.